This 353-nucleotide ribosomal RNA is filed under the name Octopus joubini. Its description in RNAcentral is "eukaryotic LSU rRNA". It matches the Rfam family "Eukaryotic large subunit ribosomal RNA", at positions 691 to 946 of the family's 3401-position model. Lineage: Eukaryota; Metazoa; Mollusca; Cephalopoda; Octopoda; Octopodidae. The record is from RNAcentral.
UCGUUGGAGCCCUUUCAUUUCGCGAACUCCGACGGCACAGCGAAAGCGAGAACGUGAUCUGUCGGCCGCGGCCGUCCGUCGGUCGCGGCGCACGAAGCAUCAUUCCUGGGUCGGGUCUGCUCGUUUGCGGUCGGCGGGUGCCUUUCGCGUGCAGGUCCUUUUUCCGGCUUCGCGCCGGGCCGCGUUCCCGCUCCGACUCAGGUGUAGCAGGCGGCCGGGGACCCGAAAGAUGGCGAUCCACGCCCGGUCGGGACGAAGCCAGAAGAAACUCUGGUGGAAGUCCGAAACGCCUCUGACGUGCAAAUCGAUCGUCGGAACCGGGUGUAGGGGCGAAAGACCAAUCGAACCAUCUA